CGCCGGGAACUGCGCGGCAGUAGGUUGGCGAAUCCCGCCAGGGCCGGAAGGCAGCAACGGUAAACUGAUUCUCUGCGCGAUGCACUCUUCCCGGCUUUU
RNAcentral lists this signal recognition particle RNA (99 nucleotides) under Armatimonadota bacterium. Its description in RNAcentral is "Armatimonadetes bacterium (activated sludge metagenome) signal recognition particle sRNA small type". It matches the Rfam family "Bacterial small signal recognition particle RNA". Rfam says of the family: The signal recognition particle (SRP) is a universally conserved ribonucleoprotein involved in the co-translational targeting of proteins to membranes. The record is from RNAcentral. Lineage: Bacteria; Bacillati; Armatimonadota.